GUCCACGCCGUAAACGAUGGAUACUAGCUGUUGGGAUUUAUCUCAGUGGCUAAGCGAAAGUGAUAAGUAUCCCACCUGGGGAGUACGUUCGCAAGAAUGAAACUCAAAGGAAUUGACGGGGCCCGCACAAGCGGUGGAGCAUGUGGUUUAAUUCGAUGAUACGCGAGGAACCUUACCAAGGCUUAAAUGUAGAUUGACCGGUUUUGGAAACAGAUCUUUCGCAAGACAAUUUACAAGGUGCUGCAUGGUUGUCGU
RNAcentral lists this ribosomal RNA (255 nucleotides) under uncultured bacterium. RNAcentral's name for it is "partial 16S ribosomal RNA". It matches the Rfam family "Bacterial small subunit ribosomal RNA", at positions 793 to 1055 of the family's 1533-position model. The record is from RNAcentral.